CCUACGGGAGGCUGCAGUGAGGAAUAUUGGUCAAUGGGCGCGAGCCUGAACCAGCCAAGUAGCGUGAAGGAUGACUGCCCUACGGGUUGUAAACUUCUUUGAUAAAGGAAUAAAGUGAGGCACGUGUGCCUGUUUGUAUGUACGUUAUGAAUAAGGAACGGCUAACUCCGUGCCAGCAGCCGCGGUAAUACGGAGGAUCCGAGCGUUCUCCGGAGUGAGGGGGUGGAAAGGGAGCGUAGAGGGGUUGUUAAGUCAGUUGUGAACGUUUGCGGCUCAACCGUAAAAUUGCAAGUGAGACUGGCAGUCUUGAGUACAGUUGAGGCAGGCGGCAUUCGUGUUGUAGCGGU
This 347-nucleotide ribosomal RNA is filed under the name uncultured bacterium. RNAcentral describes it as "partial 16S ribosomal RNA". It matches the Rfam family "Bacterial small subunit ribosomal RNA", at positions 338 to 682 of the family's 1533-position model. The record is from RNAcentral.